This is an RNA transcript of Oncorhynchus tshawytscha (Chinook salmon), 3604 nucleotides long. It is a transcript of the gene named CLK4-associating serine/arginine rich protein, with no coding region annotated. The transcript is spliced from 16 exons. The record is from RefSeq and is a predicted model, not a curated record. Lineage: Eukaryota; Metazoa; Chordata; Actinopteri; Salmoniformes; Salmonidae.
AUUGUGUGAUCGUCAAUAUACCAUAGAAUAACUCAGAGUCAGCUUCCGGUCUGAAAGGAGGUGUAACCGUGACGAGAUGAUUUCGGCUGCUAUCGCUCAGCCGAACAAUCUGGAGAAAUAAUUCAAGUGUGUGUUGGAGAACUACAAAAACAGUCACCGUGCCCCGCCGCGCCCCCACCCCCAGCGGAGCCGUCAUGUGGCAGGAGGCCCGCAAACAUGAGCGCAAGCUGCGCGGCAUGAUGGUGGACUACAAACGCCGCGGCGAGCGCCGGCGAGAGUACUACGAGAAGAUCAAAAAGGACCCGGCUCAGUUCCUUCAGGUUCACGGCCGGGCCUAUAAGAUCCAUCUGGACUCGGCCGUGGCGCUCGCCGCAGAAAGCCCCGUCAACAUGAUGCCCUGGCAGGGAGAUGCCAACAACAUGAUUGACAGGUUUGACGUGAGGGCACACCUGGACUUCAUACUCACCUACACCCCUCCACUCCUCAACACAGCCACACCAGAACAGGAGCUAGAGGAGAGGAAGUGCAACUAUGAGCGUUACAGAGGCCUAGUGCAGAACGACUUCGCCAGCAUCUCUGAGGAGCAGUGUUUGUACCAGAUCCAAAUGGACGAGCUCUAUGGUGGCCUGCAGAGGCCAAAUGAGGACGAGAAGAAAAAGCUUGCCAAGGAGAAGGCCACAAUUGGCUACACGUACGAGGACAGUACUGUUACGAAGCCUGGGGAGGAAGAAGAGAAAGGGGAGGAGGAUGACUCUGACAACAGCGAAUCAGAGGAGGACGAGGGUAUUCCAGACAUUGACGUGGAGGUGGACGUUGACGAGCUCAACACGGAGCAGGAGUUGGAUCUGAACAAGAUGGCCACUCCAUAUGGAAUGGCAGAGGGAGAUUUUGUCAGGAUGCUGAGGAAAGACAAGGAUGAGCUGGAGGCCAUUAAACAUGCCAAAGCUCUGGAGGCAGAGAAGGCCAUGUACUCGGGCCGUCGCUCUCGCAGACAGAGGAGGGAGUUCAGAGAGAAGAGACUGAAGGGCAGACAGAUCAGCCCACCCAGCUAUGCCAGGAGAGACAGCCCAACCUACGAUCCCUACAAACGGCCCCAGUCAGAGUCCAGUUCUGAGUCGCGGUCCCGCUCCCGUUCCCCGGGCCCAGAGAAGAUCACCUUUAUCACCAGCUUCGGAGGCAGUGACGAGGAGGCUGCAGCUGCAAUUCAAGCUCCACCCCCUGUCCACACCCCCGCCAACUCGCUGCACCAGCCCGCAGACGCCGCUCUUCCUCCAGCCCUUCCUCCUCUUCCACCCACUCUUCCACUCAUCGCUCCUCCUCUCGUUCCUCCUCUCACUCACGCCGCGACAGACGCCGUGGAGGAGGGAGGGACAGACGACAUUCCCGCUCCCGGUCGAGGCGGCGCUCCGACUCGCGGUCCCGGGGUAGAGGAGCCAACGGAGGAGGAAGAGGGGGGUCACGGAGGAGAUGCGACCGGACACAGUCCCGCUCCAAUGACCGAGAUGGAGACCGGGAGAGGGACAGGGAGCGAGACAGGGACGUGGGACGUUGCUUCGUGGCACGCAAGCGCACACGGUCCCGCUCGAACUCUCGACAGGGGGACCGUGCAAGGCGGGGGGGUGGGGGGCGGACUUUGGGAGGCCAUCAGAGGGGGGUCAGCAGCAGUAGUCCUAGCCCCUCCCAAUCCCCCCAGCCCAGCUGCACCCCUUCCCCCUCACACAGAGGAGGCCCGCCCUCUGCCACUGCACUCUGUGACAAGCUGAGAAAGCCUGAUACUCCGGGUGGUAAAGAGACGGGAGCUGCCAAAGUCAGUAAGAAUUUGAUCUAGCUGGGUUUGUUGCAAAAGUCUACGCCUCCCUCACCCCUGACAGGCUGAGCUGGCUAUCCAUCAGGCCGGGGACCCCCCCUCAAAGGCCACUGUGCACACAGAGAAUGGAAAUCAUAUGAAAUGUCUUUUGACUGCCCCUCUCUGUGGAGCUCCCAUAUUUUUAAAUGGUGUCCUUACCUCCCCCCUGAAUGUAGUGUAGAGUUCAACCCUUCUCUACUCAGUGUAGAGUGUGGUUACAGGGUUAGCCUGCCUCCAAAGGGCACAACCUACAUUGCAGAGUGUUGUGACAGACUUUUCCCGGACCCUUCUUUCUCCGUAUCCCUGAAUGGACUGGUGUUCCCAGCACCCUUUCUGUCACUUAUGUAUCUGUCUAUGUUAUGAAUAUUCUGCGGCACCUGCUGAGCUAUGCAGAGUGGUGCGGGUCAGACCAGGGAGUGGAGUGUGUCCCUCAAUCUCAAUGCUGAGACGUUUCACUCUACAUAUAGACAACACAUUUUUAAAGCCUGUGCCCUCCGACUGGGGGGAAAGCACUGAUAUGUCAUUGUCAGAAGCUCUUAAAUGGCUUCCUUGUCUCCUUUCCUUGUCUCCUCUCUCCCCUCACCAUUGAUCUUAAGGGACUGGGCCAGUAAAAGCGCAGGAGUAGUAAAGGAAGCCAUAUAAGAGAAUAGGGGGGAGAGUAGUCUGGGUGCGUUCCAAUAGUCUUAAGAGGCUUCCUCUCCUCGUCUCCAUUCUGCCAUCUGCGCUGACGGUAAAGAACUAGACCGGUGAAGGCGGUGCACUGGCAGGCAUACUCUAUAUUCUUCUCUGUUACGUUUCAGAUCAGCUAAAGUGAAGGACACUCAGGAGAGGAGGCCAUUUUAGGCUGCUAUGUAGUGAGUUCGGAGCUCUCAGGUGUAUGCAGCUGUUGUGGACAGCAGAGCGGUGAGAGGGGGGCUGGGCUUGUCUGAGCAGGCAGGAGAAAUACACCACCGUGCCUCUCCACCCAGGACUUAACAGCACACACUGUUACCUGCUGCCUUCCCCUUAGAGACACGCCACUAGACAUGGCUAGUAACCGCUCCAGUACAGGGGAUUCACCGGGGUAAAGGGAUGUCUCGUAGUUGCUGUGUAGAAGGAGAGUGAUAGAGGGAAGGGUCAUUAAACUCAGUAGGUUGCCAUUUUAGCCUGUUGUGUAUGUGUGCGCUUGUUUAUCCUCAAGCUGAAUUCCUACCUGGCCAGGGAGUGUCAGCAGGGAAUGUACAGGGGGGGAGGGCAGCUGGCGCUACUUGUGCCAGACUGUUCUUUCCCUGUUCGACUCUCUUACCCUUAGCUGUCUUCACAACAUUCACACAUAUGUACAAAUGCAUAAGACACAUAUACUUAAGAGUCCAGUUCCUUGUAAUGUGAUCCUGUCCUGCUACAGUGUGCAACGGGCACGGGGUUUGCCUCUCCUCCCCUCACGUAGCCGGCUCUUCCAGUCCAGCAGAGAACAGGACAUGACAAACGGCUCGCGUGAUUUACGGCCGUAUAACCCCCAUAUGACUAACCGUGGCCUUACCAGCUGCUUUAUGAGGCAGUGGUGGUCCAAAACGUGCCCAUCCCCGUAGUUCCACACACACCCUGCGCUCCUGCCCUGCGAGUGUGUGUGCUGAUGCCUGCGUGUCUCUUACAGCCCAGGAUGACCCCGCAGGAGAAGCUGAAGAUACGCAUGCAGAAGGCCCUCAACAGGCAGUCCAAGGCGGAUAAGAAAGCAGCCCAGGCGAAAGUCACUCAGCAGGAAAAUAAGCGAGCGGUGCG